GUCCUCAUCCCCAGGCACCUCAGAUGUAUCCAUAUCCUGUAUCCAAUUCAGUGCCUGGGCAGCAGGGCAAGUACCGGGGAGCAAAAGGCUCCCUUCCUCCGCAGCGCUCGGACCAACACCAGCCAGCCUCAGCCCCGCCGAUGAUGCAGGCCGCCGCGGCUGCUGGCCCGCCUCUGGUGGCUGCCACGCCCUAUUCUUCCUACAUCCCCUACAACCCUCAGCAGUUCCCAGGCCAGCCGGCCAUGAUGCAGCCCAUGGCCCACUACCCCUCACAGCCGGUGUUUGCCCCCAUGCUUCAGAGCAACCCACGCAUGCUGACGUCGGGCAGCCAUCCCCAGGCCAUCGUGUCAUCCUCUACCCCUCAGUACCCUUCUGCAGAGCAGCCUACCCCCCAAGCCCUUUAUGGUGAGUCCUGCGCCUGGUCCCUCUGCUCUGGGCUGUGUGCCAGCCCCCUCUGAUGUGCUCAGCACUGGUUCUCCCUCUUUCCUGCUGCAGCCACUGUUCACCAGUCCUACCCACACCAUGCCACACAGCUCCAUGCCCACCAGCCGCAGCCAGCUACCACGCCUACUGGAAGCCAGCCGCAGUCCCAGCAUGCGGCCCCCAGUCCUGUCCAGGUGCCUGCCAUGGGGGGUGCUGAGUG
This 643-nucleotide small RNA is filed under the name Pan troglodytes (chimpanzee). Its description in RNAcentral is "retained intron". Lineage: Eukaryota; Metazoa; Chordata; Mammalia; Primates; Hominidae. The record is from RNAcentral.